AAACUAGGAUCUGCCUUUAACAGCUGUCACCCAGCCACAGGGCUGAUCUGGCUGGCAUGGCUGUUCUCUCCCCCUCACUGCCUCAUGCGCAUCCCUCCCAAAGCUGCACAGUCCGUGCUUCUGGUAGAAAGGACCACAUCUCCUGUCUUCAGUCAAGGGUUGAAGGGUAGAUGAAUAGCUACACUCCCCUACUACAACCACCAAACAAACUUGAAGAAGAGGGAGAAGGAAGAGGAGGAAGAGGAGGAGGAGGAGGAGGAGGAGGAGGAGGAGCAAUCGAAGCCAGACUCAUUCAUCUUCCCUGCCCU
RNAcentral lists this small RNA (308 nucleotides) under Mus pahari (shrew mouse). Its description in RNAcentral is "sRNA (MGP_PahariEiJ_G0008326.1)". Lineage: Eukaryota; Metazoa; Chordata; Mammalia; Rodentia; Muridae. The record is from RNAcentral.